RNAcentral lists this ribosomal RNA (465 nucleotides) under Vreelandella stevensii. RNAcentral's name for it is "partial 16S ribosomal RNA". It matches the Rfam family "Bacterial small subunit ribosomal RNA", at positions 338 to 795 of the family's 1533-position model. The record is from RNAcentral. Lineage: Bacteria; Pseudomonadati; Pseudomonadota; Gammaproteobacteria; Oceanospirillales; Halomonadaceae.
CCUACGGGCGGCAGCAGUGGGGAAUAUUGGACAAUGGGCGAAAGCCUGAUCCAGCCAUGCCGCGUGUGUGAAGAAGGCCUUCGGGUUGUAAAGCACUUUCAGUGGGGAAGAAAGCCUUGGGGCUAAUACCCUCGAGGAAGGACAUCACCCACAGAAGAAGCACCGGCUAACUCCGUGCCAACAGCCGCGGUAAUACGGAGGGUGCGAGCGUUAAUCGGAAUUACUGGGCGUAAAGCGCGCGUAGGCGGUCUGAUAAGCCGGUUGUGAAAGCCCCGGGCUCAACCUGGGAACGGCAUCCGGAACUGUCAGGCUAGAGUGCAGGAGAGGAAGGUAGAAUUCCCGGUGUAGCGGUGAAAUGCGUAGAGAUCGGGAGGAAUACCAGUGGCGAAGGCGGCCUUCUGGACUGACACUGACGCUGAGGUGCGAAAGCGUGGGUAGCAAACAGGAUUAGAUACCCCUGUAGUC